This is a long non-coding RNA of Urocitellus parryii (Arctic ground squirrel), 1896 nucleotides long. RefSeq lists it as uncharacterized. Lineage: Eukaryota; Metazoa; Chordata; Mammalia; Rodentia; Sciuridae. The record is from RefSeq and is a predicted model, not a curated record.
CUGUUGUUACUAAAUCCUUGAAUUCAUGCAGGAUCCCAAGGAUGAACCCACACACUUCCAUGUGCAUGAAAUCAUGCUCUUCCUUGUGACCCUGACCAGCAAGGCAGAAAGUUUCCACCAACUUCCCAUCUGGGUUUUCUUCGACGUUCUACUCCUCCUCUUAAAAAUCCUGCUGUUGGUAUCAGUUUGGAAGGAGAGAUCUCAUCACUACUGGGCUUCUAGAAGGCUCGUUCCCAGUCUCUAGCCUCAGUGAAUCUGCGUCUGCACAUGAGCUCUGGCCUCACCCCUUUGUCUCGACUCCUGGAACUGCUGGAGGGUUGCUGGCAUGUCACUGUGAUCAGUGGAAGGAGGAGGACGCACUGAGCCUGGUGUGGAAGCAAGGAGUAAUGCCAAAGCAUCUGCUCCAGGAAGUCAGAGGCCACAGACAGAGAAAUCUGGUUUUAAUUUUUUUUAGCUAAGAAGUUUUAGAAAAUAAUUUGCUUCAUUUUCUUGAUGUGAUGCCUGAAGGAAAAAUAAUAAUAAAACAAAAUGGGAGGAGGGAAGGUUAUCUGCCAAAUGACAUUUUUUUCCUAUUCUUUCUGCUUCUAUUCCUAGAAAAGAGAAAUUGAAAACUGCAGGGAAAGUGUUGAUGGACAUCAUGGUGCAAAAGCACACUGGAGCAUUCACCUGAUGGCAGGAAAGCAAAAGAGAGAAAGAAGAAGGGGCAGGGGUCCACAAUCCCUUUCAGAUGCAUACCUCAGUGACCAGAAGACCUCCCGCUAAGCCCCACUUCUUUCAGGCUCCACAACCUCCCAGAAAGCACCAACACGGGGACUGAAACUUUAAUACAGGGACCUUGGGGAGAUAUUCCAGAUCCAAAACCUAGGACGAAUGCACAUCCUAAAGCUUCUCUGAAGAUUGUGUUUUCAAAGAAGAAAAAUGAGGUCAUGCUAAAAUCCAGUAAUAGUCCUUUCCUUGAAAACUUCUUGAAUAAUAGGAAAUGAUUUGGUGAUUGGGUCUGUGUAUGGCCCAACCUCAAUGAAAAUAGGGCAAAGAGAACAGAAGACCCCUUUGCGAGGAGAAUAGCCCAAUGCUGACCUGCCUGCCACCCCACUUGGCAUGGUGAUUUCUUAAGCUAAUGUGUGGGGGAAAAAUGGUUCACACAGCUUUACAUUAAGGAAAGAGGAUGAAGAGUCAUACAAAUGGACACUGUCUCCCAUCUCCACAGCACUUCCUGGCUGGUGCCAGGACAGGAGAGUGCUGCCAGCAUGGCUCCUCGUCAGCACCUGUCUCCAUUCCUGCCACCAAUUCUUUAUGUGCUUUCUAAGAGCCAACUGUCUUUCACCCAACACUUGAUGAUGCCACUCUCGUUUGUUAUUUUUAUUAAAUAGUUUAAUGUUUUGUAAACUGACYGUAUGACAGUAGAUGAAGUAUGUGUAUGAGAAAUGUUUUUGUGAAAAUUGUAUUGUCUAAUUUAAGAUACCAAUGAUUUAAGGCAGAUCACUCUUUGAUAUAUUAUUUAGAAAGAAAAAAAAUAAGGAAACCAUGAUAAGACACUGAUUGUGAAAACAUUCCAGAGAAUUUAAAUGUGAAAUAAAAUGCAUCUUAAGAAUGAUCAUAGAUGAUAAGUUAGAUCUUUUGGAAAAACUAGGAAGAAAGAUAAUUACUGGAUUCAAAGCAAAUAUACAGUUGAGUAUUCACAUAUACUAGAGUACACAACUAAACCUCUGGAUACAUAUUCAAGAGGAAUUCUUAUAUAUGCAUAAUAGGGGACACAUACAAGAAUGUUCUUAGCAUACCGUUCAUGAUAAAAACGGUAUGGAACCAAUCCAAUGUCAAUAAAGAGGAAAGAGGAUGCACAAAAUAUGGCAUAUUCACAGAAUAGAACAUUUCACAGCAGUCCAAACAGCAAUGACA